GCAACUGGCUGAAACUUCUGUCACCCCCACCCCAUUGAUUGACAGGGUUGAUUCUGCUGAUCUGGCUGGCUAGUCGGAUGCCCCCUUCCUCCCUCACCACUCCAUGUGCAUCCCUCCCAAAACUGAAUGCUCAGUCAAAGAGGAUGACCUUCCCCGAGCAGAGGAGGACCAGUCUAUGCACCCCUGCUAGAACCUCUAAACCAGCUCUCAAGGUCCAUUUGAACAUUCCUUUUUUAAUUAAUUUUUUU
Molecule: unclassified non-coding RNA, 248 nt
Organism: Mesocricetus auratus (golden hamster)
Lineage: Eukaryota; Metazoa; Chordata; Mammalia; Rodentia; Cricetidae
Gene: 7SK
Rfam family: 7SK RNA
About the family: 7SK was discovered as an abundant small nuclear RNA in the mid-70s but a possible function has only recently been suggested.
Source: Ensembl